CGUGUAGGCCGGUUGGUAAGUCAGAUGUGAAAUCCCUGGGCUCAACCCAGGAACUGCAUUUGAAACUGCCAGCCUAGAGUGGUGGAGAGGGAGGCGGAAUUCCUGGUGUAGAGGUGAAAUUCGUAGAUAUCAGGAGGAACAUCGGUGGCGAAGGCGGCCUCCUGGACACUUACUGACGCUGAGACGCGAAAGCGUGGGGAGCAAACAGGAUUAGAUACCCUGGUAGUCCACGCCGUAAACGAUGAGUGCUAGAUGUCGCGGGUAUUGACCCCUGCGGUGUCGUAGCUAACGCGUUAAGCACUCCGCCUGGGGAGUACGGCCGCAAGGCUAAA
Molecule: ribosomal RNA, 332 nt
Filed under: uncultured Pseudomonadota bacterium
Lineage: Bacteria; Pseudomonadati; Pseudomonadota
Description: bacterial SSU rRNA
Rfam family: Bacterial small subunit ribosomal RNA
Source: RNAcentral